RNAcentral lists this transfer RNA (74 nucleotides) under Mesorhizobium sp. RNAcentral's name for it is "tRNA-Arg". The record is from RNAcentral. RNAcentral also lists the same sequence under 1 other name. Lineage: Bacteria; Pseudomonadati; Pseudomonadota; Alphaproteobacteria; Hyphomicrobiales; Phyllobacteriaceae.
GCCCUUGCGCUACAAGGAUUGUAGGAAGUUUCCUAAUCUGUAGGUCACAGGUUCGAUUCCUGUCGGGAUCACCA